GCAGGGACAGUGGCAUUUCCCCUGGCCAUUGAGAAGUAGGUGCUCAAACCAAUCUCACCUCCGGUCCAAGAGUAGCGCUCUGGGACAGCUCCAAGCAUGGCGGUCGUAUCAAGGACCUGGUCAUAGUAUGAGAAAGUGUUGCUGGGAAUGUACUUGAUCCCAGCUUCUGACAUUUGCUUCCAGAUGCUAGACCUGAGGUCAGUGGCAACUUUCUCCAAAUCCUCAGCGCUGCUCUUC
This 237-nucleotide long non-coding RNA is filed under the name Setaria italica (foxtail millet). RNAcentral's name for it is "long non-coding RNA (SITA_LNC006571)". The record is from RNAcentral. Lineage: Eukaryota; Viridiplantae; Streptophyta; Magnoliopsida; Poales; Poaceae.